Molecule: long non-coding RNA, 810 nt
Filed under: Carica papaya (papaya)
Lineage: Eukaryota; Viridiplantae; Streptophyta; Magnoliopsida; Brassicales; Caricaceae
Description: long non-coding RNA (CPAP_LNC002274)
Source: RNAcentral
AACUCCUCAACUUGCCUUUGAAGGUCCUUUGUCUCCUCGGGAUUAAUUCUAUAGACUGGUUUGUUUGGAAUUGAGGCACUGGGUAUGAAAUUGAUUUGAUGUUCAAUACCUCCAAUGGGUGGCAAUCCAUUAGGUAUCUCCUCCGGAAAGACGUCUUCAUAUUCCUGCAAAAGAGAAACAAACACACUAGGCAAAAGAAACAUUAAGGUCAGCCUUGUUUGCAUCGUUCAACUUAUCCCACCAAGUUAGUGCAUAACCUUAGAAUUCAAGAGAUGCAAGUUUUACCUUUUUUUUUUUCCGAGUAGUUGUGGAUUGAAAAGACUUUUUCCACCUUUGCUUCCCACUCCAAGUAUGAUUCGGGAUCAUUUCUGCCUUGAAAUGUAGGAAUGGUCAUUUUGAUGCUUUUGAGAUUGUCAUCAACUCUACCUCUAUUCCAUCUCCUCCUACUUCCUUGGGAUAUUUCGGAUUGAACCCCUUCAUCAUAUUCAUGCCUACUUGCAUUCCUUUGCAAAUUUGCUUCGAGUUGAUCCAGGCGCUCCAUCAUCGUCUCCAUUGUUUGAUUGAAUUGUCUCAACAAUUGUUGUCUCUAAGCCUUUUCUUCAAAGCUUUCUUGUGGUGCCUCCAUUUCUGUUGUAUCCAUAGGAAAUGAAAAGUUUAAAUCCUCACACCCUUGUUUCCCUUCCUAAAAUGUCAUUCCUCAGAUAUAAUUCUCUACUUAAUAUAGUGGGGGAUAGAUUCACUCGUUUCUUACCACUCUUUUCCUUGUUUCAAGCCUUUAAGAUUUGUUCAAGUCUUACAAAUGCUAAAACA